This 939-nucleotide long non-coding RNA is filed under the name Heterocephalus glaber (naked mole-rat). RNAcentral's name for it is "lncRNA (ENSHGLG00100040046.1)". Lineage: Eukaryota; Metazoa; Chordata; Mammalia; Rodentia; Bathyergidae. The record is from RNAcentral.
GUAAGCGGACGCGCGGGGAGCCGGCGGCGCGCGCCGAAUGAGGCCGGGCGCGCGCGGGGGGACCCGGCACGAAGAGGAAGGAGCGCGGUGGGGAGUUGGGAGCGCGGGGCUCCCCCGGGACCCCCCGCAGCUCCGACGGGGUUUCAGUUGACUCGGACUGCACCGCAGCGAGAGUCCGUUAGGAGUCUCCGCCUGGGCGCGCAGCUGGCCGACCAUCCCGGCCCGCCUCCCCCUCGCUCCCACCAGGAAGGGCAGCCGGGCGAGAGCCAGUGACCUCUCCUCCCGCCAGCCCAGAACGAACAAUCACCAGUCCAGCGUGAGUUGUGGACCACUGGUAGGACUGGAUAGAAGAAUCAACCUCACCCUCACCACACUAACUGAAAGUGAUACUUCUCUUCAAAGGAAAAUCAGAGCACAUUACAGAAAGAAAGAAGAAAAGAAGCUGGGCAGCUCGAAUGAGAUAGAUUAGGGCAUGGCAAAGGCUGGCUGGGGAAGUAGGCGUGACCUGUUAACUACAAGAUCCGGGACACAUGUGCUUAAAUGUUCUCCAAAGCCCUGCACGUGGACUUCUGGCUAACCCGACCAGGUUUUCAACAGGAUGGCCUAGACCUGAGAUCAGCCUGAGGCGUGGGAUCCAAGCACCGGCUCUGAGAACCCAGAUAUAGAAGUUCUCGCGGUUUCCUCAAAAUUUGGACGCUAUUAAAGAAAGGCAGCCAGGAGGAGCAGCUAUCUUGGCUUUCCAAGAAAGCCCAUGCUGGGUUUUUUUGUUUUUGUUUUUUUUUUUUUUGGUACUGGGGAUCGAACUCGGGUCCGCUUGCAUAGCAGGCGGCAAAAACACUGAGCUAAAUCCCCGGCCCUAACCCAUGCUGCUUUUACCUUUGCUCUUACCCUCUUUUUGUCUUUACUUGGACCAGGCUCACUCUGUAGAGAGUUUCUCAC